CCCUAAAUGAACUCUGCAGACGGCUGUUCCCAGUGAACCCCUCAAAUUCUGCACCAGCUACUAGACAACAAGCACAAAGAGAGGCAACGCAGGGAGGAGGUGCGAGGAGAGCUGCCCACUGCUUGGGGGUACAUGGUCAAGGUCAGCCCCGGCUGGCAACCCCCCAGGUCCCCACUGUGUACAGUAGGCAAAGCACGGAGUGGAGAACCCCCAGGUCUUAAACAAUUGCUCAGAAAGGGAAGAAGAAUAUUUACAUUUCCACUGAGUCACAGGAGGAAGAGUGCGAAAGGACCAGCGGGUAAAGCUGUUGUGCCGUGGCACCAACCUGCACCAAAGUCAUCGCAUUCGUCACUGUUUCAUGGUCAAAAUAAAAAAGGCCAGUUUCACGUAGGAUUGAUCUUGAA
Molecule: long non-coding RNA, 404 nt
Organism: Artibeus jamaicensis (Jamaican fruit-eating bat)
Lineage: Eukaryota; Metazoa; Chordata; Mammalia; Chiroptera; Phyllostomidae
Exons: 3
Source: RefSeq, a predicted model, not a curated record